CUGGGAAACUGCCUGAUGGAGGGGGAUAACUACUGGAAACGGUAGCUAAUACCGCAUAAUGUCGCAAGACCAAAGUGGGGGACCUUCGGGCCUCAUGCCAUCAGAUGUGCCCAGAUGGGAUUAGCUAGUAGGUGGGGUAACGGCUCACCUAGGCGACGAUCCCUAGCUGGUCUGAGAGGAUGACCAGCCACACUGGAACUGAGACACGGUCCAGACUCCUACGGGAGGCAGCAGUGGGGAAUAUUGCACAAUGGGCGCAAGCCUGAUGCAGCCAUGCCGCGUGUGUGAAGAAGGCCUUCGGGUUGUAAAGCACUUUCAGCGGGGAGGAAGGCGAUGAGGUUAAUAACCUUGUCGAUUGACGUUACCCGCAGAAGAAGCACCGGCUAACUCCGUGCCAGCAGCCGCGGUAAUACGGAGGGUGCAAGCGUUAAUCGGAAUUACUGGGCGUAAAGCGCACGCAGGCGGUCUGUCAAGUCGGAUGUGAAAUCCCCGGGCUCAACCUGGGAACUGCAUUCGAAACUGGCAGGCUAGAGUCUUGUAGAGGGGGGUAGAAUUCCAGGUGUAGCGGUGAAAUGCGUAGAGAUCUGGAGGAAUACCGGUGGCGAAGGCGGCCCCCUGGACAAAGA
This 626-nucleotide ribosomal RNA is filed under the name Klebsiella pneumoniae. Its description in RNAcentral is "bacterial SSU rRNA". It matches the Rfam family "Bacterial small subunit ribosomal RNA", at positions 117 to 739 of the family's 1533-position model. Lineage: Bacteria; Pseudomonadati; Pseudomonadota; Gammaproteobacteria; Enterobacterales; Enterobacteriaceae. The record is from RNAcentral.